AUUGAACGCUGGCGGCAUGCCUUACACAUGCAAGUCGAACGGCAGCACGGGAGCAAUCCUGGUGGCGAGUGGCGAACGGGUGAGUAAAGUAUCGGAACGUGCCCAGUCGUGGGGGAUAACGUAGCGAAAGUUACGCUAAUACCGCAUACGAUCUAUGGAUGAAAGCGGGGGAUCGCAAGACCUCGCGCGAUUGGAGCGGCCGAUAUCAGAUUAGGUAGUUGGUGGGUAAAGGGCCCACCAAGCCGACGAUCUGUAGCUGGUCUGAGAGGACGACCAGCCACACUGGGACUGAGACACGGCCCAGACUCCUACGGGAGGCAGCAGUGGGGAAUUUUGGACAAUGGGCGAAAGCCUGAUCCAGCCAUGCCGCGUGCAGGAUGAAGGC
Molecule: ribosomal RNA, 385 nt
Filed under: uncultured bacterium
Lineage: Bacteria
Description: bacterial SSU rRNA
Rfam family: Bacterial small subunit ribosomal RNA
Source: RNAcentral